This 429-nucleotide ribosomal RNA is filed under the name Gemmatimonadota bacterium. RNAcentral's name for it is "Gemmatimonadetes bacterium partial 16S ribosomal RNA". It matches the Rfam family "Bacterial small subunit ribosomal RNA", at positions 355 to 776 of the family's 1533-position model. The record is from RNAcentral. Lineage: Bacteria; Pseudomonadati; Gemmatimonadota.
UAGGGAAUCUUCGGCAAUGGACGAAAGUCUGACCGAGCAACGCCGCGUGAGUGAAGAAGGUUUUCGGAUCGUAAAACUCUGUUGUUAGAGAAGAACAAGGACGUUAGUAACUGAACGUCCCCUGACGGUAUCUAACCAGAAAGCCACGGCUAACUACGUGCCAGCAGCCGCGGUAAUACGUAGGUGGCAAGCGUUGUCCGGAUUUAUUGGGCGUAAAGCGAGCGCAGGCGGUUUCUUAAGUCUGAUGUGAAAGCCCCCGGCUCAACCGGGGAGGGUCAUUGGAAACUGGGAGACUUGAGUGCAGAAGAGGAGAGUGGAAUUCCAUGUGUAGCGGUGAAGUGCGUAGAUAUAUGGAGGAACACCAGUGGCGAAGGCGGCUCUCUGGUCUGUAACUGACGCUGAGGCUCGAAAGAGUGGGGAGCAAACAGG